This 576-nucleotide ribosomal RNA is filed under the name Triticum aestivum (bread wheat). Its description in RNAcentral is "partial small subunit ribosomal RNA". Lineage: Eukaryota; Viridiplantae; Streptophyta; Magnoliopsida; Poales; Poaceae. The record is from RNAcentral.
AUGUCUGCACCAACCGUGUCAUAUAGGGCCUCGCUCGACGACGCGGAGGUGAACAUUGGGUCUCCUCCACUUGCUUCCUUCGACUUCCAUGUUGAGGAGCCGGCGGGUGAGGAGGAGGAAGAAGAUGAAGAUGUCAUCGAGAUCGGAGAGGAAGUGUUUGAAGCGGGAGGUGGUGCUCGAAGGCCAAUUCGCACGACAAACUACACGGAGGUUGAAGAUGUCCUCUUGGUCAAGGCUUGGUUGCAAGUGGGGUUGGAUGCUGUCAUCGGCACCGAUCAAACCGGGAAACGCUAUUGGCAAUGCAUUGAGGACAGGUAUUGCAAGCUGAAACCCAAGACUGCCACAUUGAGAGCUCGUUCUUACAGAUCGCUUCAAGGCCGGUGGGGGUUGAUGAAACCCGCUUGUGCUCGUUGGAGUGCGGCUAUGGAUCAAGUGAGGGAUCAACCCCCAAGUGGCUGCGUUGAGAGUGAUUAUGAGAAAUAUGCCGACUUGAGGUACAAGGACAUGGACGGUUCCAAGGGCAAAUCCUUCCCAUUCAAGCAUUGUUGGGCAUUGCUCCAACAUCUUGACAAAUGA